GACGCCGAGAGGCACCGUUUCUUCUUAAAAGAGAAACGCUGCGCGCGCGAGGUGGGCCCCGGUCUUCCAGCAGCUCCGGGCUUGCUCGCUAGGCCCGGGAGGCGCAGGCGCAGGCGCAGUGGGGGUGAGGGCGCGUGGGGGCGCACAGCCUCUGGUGCACAUGGCUUCCUCCCCGGCGGUGGACGUGACCUGCAGGCGGCGGGAGAAGCGGCGGCAGCUGGACGCGCGCCGCAGCAAGUGCCGCAUCCGCCUGGGCGGCCACAUGGAGCAGUGGUGCCUCCUCAAGGAGCGGCUGGGCUUCUCCCUGCACUCGCAGCUCGCCAAGUUCCUGUUGGACCGCCGAGAGUGCAGCCUGGUGCCCGGGCUUCGGGGGCCUGGCGGCCAAGAUGGGGGGCUUGUGUGGGAGUGCUCAGCAGGCCAUACCUUCUCCUGGGGACCCUCUUUGAGCCCUACACCUUCAGAGGCACCCAAGCCAGCCUCCCUUCCACAUACUACUCGGAGAAGUUGGUGUUCCGAGGCCACGAGUGGGCAGGAGCUUGCAGAUUUGGAAUCUGAGCAUGAUGAGAGGACUCAAGAGGCCAGGUUGCCCAGGAGGGUGGGACCCCCACCAGAGACCUUCCCACCUCCAGGAGAGGAAGAGGGUGAGGAAGAAGAGGACAAUGAUGAGGAUGAAGAGGAGAUGCUCAGUGAUGCCAGCUUAUGGACCUACAGCUCCUCCCCAGAUGAUAGUGAGCCUGAUGCCCCCAGACUACUCCCUUCCCCUGUCACCUGCACACCUAAAGAGGGGGAGACACCACCAGCCCCUGCAGCACUCUCCAGUCCUCUUGCUGUGCCGGCCUUGUCAGCAUCCUCAUUGAGUUCCAGAGCUCCUCCACCUGCAGAAGUCAGGGUGCAGCCACAGCUCAGCAGGACCCCUCAAGCGGCCCAGCAGACUGAGGCCCUGGCCAGGUAACCUGAUGGCUGAGACAGAAAGGGCAGGGGCGUCCUGGGAUGUGGCCCUCCCUCGAGGCCCUCUGCUCCCUCUUUGCUGCCCAUAGCACUGGGAGUCAGGCCCAGUCUGCUCCAACCCCGGCCUGGGAUGAGGACACUGCACAAAUUGGCCCCAAGAGAAUUAGGAAAGCUGCCAAAAGAGAGCUGAUGCCUUGUGACUUCCCUGGCUGUGGAAGGAUCUUCUCCAACCGGCAGUAUUUGAAUCACCACAAAAAAUACCAGCACAUCCACCAGAAGUCUUUCUCCUGCCCAGAGCCAGCCUGUGGGAAGUCUUUCAACUUUAAGAAACACCUGAAGGAGCACAUGAAGCUGCACAGUGGUGUGAGAUAUGCGGGUUUACCUGCCGCCAGAAGGCGUCCCUGAACUGGCACCAGCGCAAGCAUGCAGAGACGGUGGCUGCCUUGCGCUUCCCCUGUGAAUUCUGCGGCAAGCGCUUUGAGAAGCCAGACAGUGUUGCAGCCCACCGUAGCAAAAGUCACCCAGCCCUGCUUCUAGCCCCUCAAGAGUCACCCAGUGGUCCCCUAGAGCCCUGUCCCAGCAUCUCUGCCCCUGGG
This 1544-nucleotide small RNA is filed under the name Pan troglodytes (chimpanzee). RNAcentral describes it as "retained intron". Lineage: Eukaryota; Metazoa; Chordata; Mammalia; Primates; Hominidae. The record is from RNAcentral.